Molecule: ribosomal RNA, 446 nt
Filed under: uncultured bacterium
Lineage: Bacteria
Description: bacterial SSU rRNA
Rfam family: Bacterial small subunit ribosomal RNA
Source: RNAcentral
CCAGACUCCUACGGGAGGCAGCAGUGGGGGAUAUUGCACAAUGGGGGAAGCCCUGAUGCAGCGACGCCGCGUGAGUGAAGAAGCAUUUCGGUGUGUAAAGCUCUAUCAGCAGGGAAGAAGAAUGACGGUACCUGACUAAGGAGCCCCGGCUAACUACGUGCCAGCAGCCGCGGUAAUACGGAGGGUGCGAGCGUUAUCCGGAUUUAUUGGGUUUAAAGGGUGCGUAGGCGGUCCGGAAAGUCAGCGGUAAAAGCCCGGGGCCCACCCCCGGCGAGCCGUUGAAACUGUCGGACUAGAGACGGCGAGAAGUACGCGGAAUGCGCGGUGUAGCGGUGAAAUGCAUAGAUAUCGCGCAGAACUCCGAUUGCGAAGGCAGCGUACCGGCGCCGGACUGACGCUGAGGCACGAAAGCGUGGGUAUCGAACAGGAUUAGAUACCCUUGUAGA